This 1706-nucleotide ribosomal RNA is filed under the name bioreactor metagenome. RNAcentral describes it as "bacterial LSU rRNA". It matches the Rfam family "Bacterial large subunit ribosomal RNA", at positions 1100 to 2813 of the family's 2925-position model. The record is from RNAcentral.
GUUGGCUUAGAAGCAGCCAUACAUUUAAAGAGUGCGUAAUAGCUCACUGGUCGAGCGGUCCUGCGCCGAAAAUGUCCGGGGCUAAAACCUGACACCGAAGCCAUGGGUUCUGCGUAAAGCAGAGCGGUAGGGGAGCAUCGUAUACGGGCCGAAGCCCGACCGGAAGGCAGGGUGGACUGUAUACGAGGGAGAAUGCCGGCAUGAGUAGCGAGAGGGUGGUGAGAAUCCACCCCGUCGAAAGCCUAAGGAUUCCUGAGGAAGGUUCGUCCGCUCAGGGUAAGUCGGGACCUAAGCUGAGGGCGAAAGCCGUAGGCGAUGGGCAAUCGGUUGAAAAUCCGAUACCACCUGAUACCGACUGAGAGAGGCAGUGACACAGGAGGGCAGGCAGAGCGAGCUGAUGGUAGAGCUCGUCCAAGCGGCGAGGCAGGCAGGUGAGUGAAGUACCACCUGCCGGUAAUGCUGAGCCGUGACGGGGACCGAAGUUAAAGUAGGGAAGCUGCCGGGCUCACACUGGCGAGAAAAGCUGCUAUCGAGGUAUCAGGUGCCCGUACCGCAAACCGACACAGGUAGGCGAGGAGAGGAUCCUAAGACGAGCGGGGAAACCCUUGUCAAGGAACUCGGCAAAUUGACCCCGUAACUUAGGGAGAAGGGGUGCCUGCGAGAGCAGGUCGCAGAGAACAGGCCCAAGCGACUGUUUAACAAAAACACAGGUCUCUGCUAACUCGAGAGAGGAAGUAUAGGGGCUGACGCCUGCCCAGUGCUGGAAGGUUAAGGGGAAGUGUUAGCGAAAGCGAAGCACAGAACCGAAGCCCCAGUGAACGGCGGCCGUAACUAUAACGGUCCUAAGGUAGCGAAAUUCCUUGUCGGGUAAGUUCCGACCCGCACGAAAGGCGUAACGAUUUGGGCACUGUCUCGACAACGCGCCCGGUGAAAUUGAAGUACUGGUAAAGAUGCCAGUUACCCGCGACAGGACGGAAAGACCCCGUGGAGCUUUACUGUAGCUUGAUACUGGGAUUCGGUGCUGCAUGUACAGGAUAGGAGGGAGGCAGAGAAUCAUGGACGCCAGUCUGUGAGGAGCCGCUGUUGGGAUACCUCUCUUGUAGUACUGAAUUUCUAACCUGAAUCCGUGAACCGGAUUAGGGACACUGUCAGGCAGGCAGUUUGACUGGGGCGGUCGCCUCCGAAAGAGUAACGGAGGUGCUCGAAGGUAACCUCAGAAUGGUUGGAAAUCAUUCGCAGAGUGCAAAGGCAGAAGGUUGCUUAACUGUGACAGAGACAUCUGGAGCAGGUACGAAAGUAGGACUUAGUGAUCCGGUGGUAAGAAAGUGGGAUUGCCAUCGCUCAACGGAUAAAAGCUACCCCGGGGAUAACAGGCUGAUCUCCCCCAAGAGUCCACAUCGACGGGGAGGUUUGGCACCUCGAUGUCGGCUCGUCGCAUCCUGGGGCCGGAGCAGGUCCCAAGGGUUGGGCUGUUCGCCCAUUAAAGCGGCACGUGAGCUGGGUUCAGAACGUCGAGAGACAGUUCGGUCCCUAUCCGUCGCGGGCGUAGGAAAUUUGAGAGGAGCCGUUCCUAGUACGAGAGGACCGGAAUGGACGUACCGCUGGUGAACCAGUUGUCACGCCAGUGGCACAGCUGGGUAGCUAAGUACGGAAGGGAUAAACGCUGAAGGCAUCUAAGCGUGAAGCCCCCCUCAAGAUAAGAUUUC